This 41-nucleotide transfer RNA is filed under the name Herbertus dicranus. RNAcentral describes it as "partial tRNA-Phe". It matches the Rfam family "tRNA", at positions 1 to 40 of the family's 71-position model. Rfam says of the family: Transfer RNA (tRNA) molecules are approximately 80 nucleotides in length. Their secondary structure includes four short double-helical elements and three loops (D, anti-codon, and T loops). RNAcentral also lists the same sequence under 2 other names. Lineage: Eukaryota; Viridiplantae; Streptophyta; Jungermanniopsida; Jungermanniales; Herbertaceae. The record is from RNAcentral.
GCCGGAAUAGCUCAUUUGGUAGAGCAAAGGACUGAAAAUCC